AGUAAUGUCUGGGAAACUGCCUGAUGGAGGGGGAUAACUACUGGAAACGGUAGCUAAUACCGCAUAACGUCGCAAGACCAAAGUGGGGGACCGUUCGGGGCCUCAUGCCAUCAGAUGUGCCCAGAUGGGAUUAGCUAGUAGGUGGGGUAACGGCUCACCUAGGCGACGAUCCCUAGCUGGUCUGAGAGGAUGACCAGCCACACUGGAACUGAGACACGGUCCAG
RNAcentral lists this ribosomal RNA (224 nucleotides) under uncultured bacterium. RNAcentral describes it as "partial 16S ribosomal RNA". It matches the Rfam family "Bacterial small subunit ribosomal RNA", at positions 109 to 334 of the family's 1533-position model. The record is from RNAcentral.